This 14598-nucleotide long non-coding RNA is filed under the name Prunus persica (peach). Its description in RNAcentral is "long non-coding RNA (PPER_LNC002750)". Lineage: Eukaryota; Viridiplantae; Streptophyta; Magnoliopsida; Rosales; Rosaceae. The record is from RNAcentral.
GACUGCGUGGGGCAGGUUCUGGUGGCCAGCAACAAACGCUUCAUCAAAAUUGUGCAUUGCUCCCUUGUCCAAGCUGGCAAGGAGAAAGAAGCUCAAGAGUACCUCGAAAAGGUGAGCCCUGCAUCCCGGGUCAAGCACUUUGAGUCCAUCAAGAUGUGGAAUUACCUUAGUCUGCCAUUCCAGGUGCUCAAGGUAAUGGAGGAUAUGGGAUUAGGCACAAAUCCGUCCAGUUUCUUCAUGCCUCCAGCACCACUUGAGGUUUUUCCCACUCCGGCACCGGGCUGGAGGCCCGGCCAAGCUAUGGCCGACGGUAACGUUCCGUCACCUUGCUUUAGAGGCUUAAUUGACAGCUUGGUAAAUAAAUUUGGAGUUUAACUUUUACAGCAAGCCUUUUUAUUUUAUUUUAUUUUAUUUGUAAAUACUUUUGCUGUAAGAAAUUUGUUGACUUGGGUUACUUGGGUAAUGAUAAGAAUGUUGUAUGUGUACAUAAACAUGCUUAGUCAAUAAUUACGUUUAUGUAUAUGUUUUAGUAUCGAGUAACAGAGCAUGACAGAGAUAACAGAGCACUGAGUAACUGGGGCCAAAAGCAUGAUUUCUAUCUUUGGAGUACUAGUUGGUGUUCAGUACCUGGUCUUUGUAAUUCUCUAUGUAAAGAGACUAAACGUAGUUAAGAUUAAUUGUAUGAAAUUCUUCUGUUGUGAUCUGUUUUAUUGUUGAAAGAUGAAUACCUAUGUUCCAAUCUUGUUUCAGGAUGAGGCUGGCAUUGUGCCUGAGACCGAGGACAGCCCUCCAACAGCCGUGGAGAGCAUAACCCUGUUGGAUUAGUUCUUCACGUUGGUGAGGUUACAGACCGGUCUAUGAUGGAUGCUGCAGCUGAACACAAGCAGAAGAAGGGGGUGAUGGAAGUGGAGGUCUCUGACACGGACCAAGCAUCACCCAGUUAUCCUGUUUUCUUUCUUUUUACUUUGAAGACUAAAAUCAUCCUGGUUUUGCUCUUGCGGUAUUAGAAUGAUUCGAUAUAUACUUGCAGUAUGUAUUAGGAGCCAUGACUUUAUGCAAUCCUUUUGCAUAUGUAGUUGCUGCACGGGAUAUGCAUCCUUGUUUAUGUUUGGACAUCUUUUUAACAUUGGUUGAUCCUGUUAUGAUAUAAACUGACGACCCGCCACUUCCACAAUUGCAAUCUGUUUGAUACUUGAGAAUGUAUUAUAAAUUUCAGAAGACCAAGAUUCACUAUAAAUUCUAGGAAGCAUGAUAAGUCCAAACUACAGCAUGCACCUUAUGUCUAGUCAUCGGCUGUUUUCUGUUGAUGCAUGAAGUCCUUGGGUCUGCAUUUGAACAUGAAUGUAUAAUUCACACACCUGUAUUACAAUGAUAACAUGAUACAUGUUUAGUUCUGUUUUCUCAGCACGAUAAUCAAUCUUCUAUAUACUGCCCUGUAACAUUUGUGACCGUCACGUGUUACUAUGAUACAUCCAAUUCUUUAGGAAUCUAGUGCUGAUAAUCUUUCCAUGCUAUAGUUGCAUGUAUGUAUGGCAUGCAAAUCACUAAUAUGUAUCUAUAUGUGAAAACAGAUUAAGCUACAAGGUAACAAUUUCCUUCCCUGAUGGAAUUUCUUACAACACCAAGCAUAUUUCCUUGGUUAGAAAGGUAGCAACCAGAUUCAUCCUCUUAGAACAACUUGCAAGAUUCCCUAUAUUUGACUGCGCAUAUCUCAACCAUGCAUUGUUAUUAACAGAAACGUUCCUUCAGCAUAUUCCCCUGCUCGUUUUUAAAACCCAAAAAACCCCCUUCUAUAGCAUAUUGAGUCCAUUUCAGAGAAGGGAUGAAGUUGAAAGGUGCAAAAAGGCCAUGGUAUUGGUUUAUCAGGUAUAAAACCAGAUUAAAGAUACUGAUUGGUAUGAAUCUUGCAGCUUAAUCUGUACAUACUAAAUAUAAAAAAUGUUCUAUCAGUUGCCUCGUUACUUUUGGAAAGUAGAAUAUCUACCAUUCCAAAAGACGAAUGCAUGCCCCACCCACACCCAAAUCCUCCUUAGUUUAGUUUAGUACAGACACUUUCGUUUACGUCUCAAACCCAAACACCCACGAACACAAGUACUUGCUUGUGGCCCCAUAUUUUAUUACCCAUAAAAGAUAGAAAAGCUCUCAAGACAAUUUGGGAAAACCCUUUUCCUGUCAGCUCACAAGGCAGUGACAGAAGCCAAUGUUUGCAAAUACUAAGGCAUAUAUAGCCUAUUUGGAAAGGGGGACAAAGCACAUAUUCUGUAAUGAAAAAAAAGGUUCUUUGCCUCUCUGAUAUCAUAUAGCUUUUCAUUGAAUAAAGCAAAAUUCAUGCCCAAAAAUAAGAAAUCCAGACCCUACAUCCAUAAUCUCAUUGCGUACUAAUUCAUAAAUGUAAGAAUAUCCAUCAUAAGAUUAAUCUUUUGAAAACAAUACAACUUGUUCCAUCUAGAUUGAGUGAUUGCAGAACUUACACUUUAAUUGAAUCUGCAUUACUGUGAACUGUUAUGAAGAACCCCUGAGCCUCUCAGAAGAUAUCUGCAAAACAAAAAGUUCGAGCUACAUACAGAAGCAAGAGGGUUACGGCAAGUAAAAUUCAACAGAAUUGUCAGAUUCAAAACUCCCAUGUCAAAAUUUUCACCUCAUUGUCAUCAGCCAUAGGAGCACUAAGAUCUUGCUUUGGGCUGGCUGCCUACAACUCCCAGAACGUGAAGCUGGUGUCGAAAACUAACAGCAAGCCAACCACAUCCAUAAUUCCAUAUGGAGCAACAUUUGUGUACGGUGCCGCGUUUGAAUGAUUUUUAAGAUUUCUUACCGCAGUUUGAGGUAAGGUAAGUGUCUGUAUUUUAAUAAAAGAAUUUAAAGCAACAAAAGUCUUAGAUGAGUCUUCUUCCUCUCUUUUUACUUAUUCGACAAAUAAGGAGGUCUCAUAAUGUGUCUCUCACCCAAGUGGCCCAACCACAAAGCCUUCUCUAAAGGCCUCAUGGUAGAAUUGAAUAUGGUAUGCUUGCUUUGUUAAUGUUUUAAGAAAUAUUAAUAUUAGUUUCAGGAGCUUAAUAUUAAUACACUCGUAUUCCCAAAAAAAAAAAAAAAAAAACUCAAGCACUCCCUCUCAAAAAACACUCUAGAGUUGUUUUUACUUUGAAGGGAGAGGAAGCCACUAUUCUUCCUCACAUCUCCCCUCCUCUCUUCCUCCCCUCUCCCUUCGUUCGCUCUUCCCCCAUUUUCAAAGACAUAAGGUUUCCUCUAUUUUUCUUCAUUUUCUUAUGAUUUUCCUUCACUCAUCACAAGCGGAUGUGUUUUGGCGUCAGAUAUCCAUAUGCGUUUUUGUGUUGGAUCUCUAUCACCAUCAUUUUUGUGAUUUCUUCAUAUUUAGAAUAAGUCGCAGAGACUCUUUGAGUUUUCUAUGUUGUUUUCACAUCUCCUUUUGUGAGAGUUUUUUACCUCUCCUUUGUGAGAGUUUUUUACCUCUUUUUUGUGAGAGCUUUCUACCUCUCAUUUGUCACAAAGACUCUUUGGCUUUUUUGGCUUAUUUAUAAUUGCAAUUCCAUAAUUUCUCAACAACAACAAAAAUUAAUAUUUAUGUUACUUCUAAUUAGGGAUGGGCACAAUUUUUGGUCAACUCGAGCGAACUAUUCAAUCCGAUUAUAGUGGGUCGAGUUAGCUUAAAAAUGAGCGGGUUUUGAGUUUAAAAAAUCAUAAAUCGAUAUGUACAGGUUGGAACCAAAACUUAAAAAUAUGCUUAAUUUUGAAUUAACCUGACCAAACCGUUCAACUCGAUCACAAAAAGUUAACUCAACUAAAACUACGCAACCCAAUCCAUAUCCCCCCUACUUUUAAUGACAUUCCACUGUUUCUUUUUAAAUAGGAACAGAUGUUUUAUUGUUCAGUUAGCCUCAAAAUGUCUUUAUCAGCAGCACAAUAUAACCCAUCACUGGGUACACAACGAUUUAUGAAAUUAUAGCGAAUAGAUUAAUGAAUUAAACUUCUAUUUAUUGGUUGUACGUAGUUUAUCUAUGUAAAUCUUGUCUCUGGAGAGUAUAUAAAUGUAAAUGAUUUUUGGUGACUAAAUUAAUUUAAUGAUCUUACAAAUAGUAUCAACUAAAUUCUUGUUAUUUGAUUAUAUAUUGAAUUUCAUUUGAGCUACAUAAAACAAUUCUUGUUAUUUGACUAAACUUUAGACCCAAUUGCUGACGAGGUUCUAGUUAAAUUAAGUUUGGUCAGCGGUGGGUCUUGGAUUUGAUGAGCCAUUUUAGCACUUGGUCAGCCAUGGGUCAGCCGACAUAUAUACAACAUUAUUUUUAUUUUUAUGAUUUAAUUUAUUGUUUGAAUAUGUAACUCUCUUUUUUUUUUUUUUUAAGUCAACAGCAAUAGCGUUUUAUUGAUAUAUAGGUUGAAACAAGUAUAAAAAUCGGGCUCUAAUUUAGGAAAUUAGGCGAGUUACUUUAUAUUUAAUGGGCAUUUAAUUGUCGGUCUAUCUAAACAACCUUACCUUCUCAAUCACAAAUAAAAGGAAGAACCUUGCCUCCGUUAAAGCGCUCACCAUCUCCCUAAGAUUAUGCCCAUAAAAACCAUAUGUCCCAACCCUAAAAUAAUACUAAAUAUUGUUUAGAGAACGAGUAAUAAUGGAAAGUGGGGAUCUUCCCAAACUAGGGAAAAAGAAGGAAAAAAAAAAAGAAGGGCAUGUGCUAUACACGUGGACGGCAGUGAUGGAGACGGGAUGAUGAUGCAAUCAUGCAGUCGGGAAUGAUGAUGCAAUCAUGCAGUCGGUCAAGCAAUUGGUGGAACUUCUAGAUGUAAUUUGACUUGACAGUUGUAACAAUACUUUUUCUCCUUUUCUAGUUUUUUCUCUCUCUCCUCUUUUCUCCCCAGAUUUGUUUGAAUUUUGAGUCCUUUUGCUCAGAUCUAUAUAGAUCUUAUCUUUUUUUUUUUUUUUUUGUUUGUGUGUUUUCUAUUGUAGGUCCUUGGUAACUUUUAUUGUUCUUGGAUAUGUCUUGCUAUCAUCAGGGACAGACCCAAGAAUAUUAUCUCAUAGGGUCGUAGUAUAAAAGUUCAAAUUUUUUUAAAAGAUUAAAAUAACAUUGGAGUUCUGAAGUCGGGUUUUGGAAUGGGGGUUUUGGAGUUCUAAAGUCGGAAGGGAUGUGAUAAAUCUUUUUUUUUAAUUUAUAAUUUUAAUAAGACCUGGACCAAAACAGCCUCGUUUUGGCCAGCGUGUUUAUAAAAAUAAAACAAUUUAAACGCUGGGCCGUUUUGGCCAGCAUGUUUUUAAAUAAAUAAAAACAGAAGCGUUGUGCAGUUUCUUCUUCCUUAGAUUUGCAACAUUCUCCUUCGGCCAUUCAUGAGGUCACAUAGCCAUUAAAGGGGACCUUUUAGCUUGCUUUCAUGGAGUCCAUAGGGUCGUUUGAUCCUGGCUAUUACUGGAAUGGCUGCAGUGUUGUGUUGUUGACCCAACUUUUUUCUUUGAUUUUCUUUGUGUUUUUGAAGCAAGUACUGCAAUCCACCAUAGACGCCAUGAUUUUGUUGUAGCUUUUGGUCCACUCACUUGGAUUUUGCUGGAAAGGAUGUGGUGCAGUGUCCUUGUUUCUGUGUUUAUUUUAGUCUAAUAAUUCUCAAAGGAGUUUGCUGAUAUUUGUAUUUUGUGUUUGACUUUUCGAUGCAGAUUUAUCGUUACUGCAGUUGCGCGACGAAUCUAUAUUGUAAGUCUGAGUACAGAUGCUUUUGUCUGUCGAAUUGGAAGUUUUAAAUUUUUCUAACAUGCGAAUCUAUAUAGUGGAAUAUGAGGUAAAUAUCUUUUAUUUUUCUUUUACUUUGAGUUUGAGUGUAUCUUCUUCUUUCCAUUUGGUAAGUAUCAUUAGUUACCAAAAAACGAAACUAAAUUUGUAAAAGAAAAAACGAAAGAAAAGGAGCCCUAAUUUGAACACAACAUACAUACAAUGGACUUGUUUUUUUAUUUAGACAAUCUGUUUUUCCGCAUUUGGAACAAGUGAAAAUAAUUGUGUCCAAAUUUCAGACAGAAAAUGAACUUGAGGUUGGAAUUUAAUGAUUUGAAAGUGGUUGAGCAAAAUCAGUAAUAAAGUAAACAAAGUAAAAAGUGCAAAAAUGCAAUACUGCAACUUUGAAGACAUAAAUGAAGGCCUCUACUCUACCCCAAAAACAGAGGCCUUAUAUUAUGUUCUGGAAUGUCAAAAUUUUAAUCAGUGUCGCUGUCGACGCCUUAUAUCAUAAAAUUAUAAAAGAAAAAGAGAAAAAGGGCAAAAAAUGAAGUAAACAAGCCGAAGAAAAGACAAUCGUAACUAUUGACUUUUCCGACCACCGUUGCUUAAGCCCAGCUAGGCAUGGAGGAGGCUUGGAGCCGUAGCUAGGCUAUGGAGCCAGGUACCACACCCCAACUGCAGUGUUGCCUAUAAAAGAAGAGCAACUGAAAAAUCAACUUCAAUUUCAACUCCAAUUCUCUCUCUCACUUCACCAUCUUAAGCUUUACUCUCCACUUUUCUCAACCCAAAAAAAAAACCCUUAAAAAUGAGCCCCAACUCUCGUGCCAAUUUUGUCCAUUUCCAUCUUGAAGAAAUCCGUUUGUUUGCGAUCCAAGCCGUACAGAACAUAGGCGGUCUCAGGCCACCGAGACUCUACUCGGCAACUGUCAACGGAACCUGGACAAGUAGUAAUUUGUGCCCAGAAAGAGUCUUCCUGACUCGCAUCCCUCUCCUCACUGGGCGCACUCCUGAAGACGCCGCCGCUGCAAUUAUCCAAUUCCGCCUGAAUUUGGCCUUAAACAGCAGCACCAGCCACCACCAAUUCUGUUUUCUCGAAAACGGAGCCGCUGCCGGCGACGGUGGAGCACCCAAUUACAUCCCGGAUCUCAAUGUCUCGCCUCCUGAUGAGACGGCGCCUGCGAAGGAGUUCGUCGGAGUAAUCAAGAGCCAGAACAUCUCCCGGCUGACUGAUUAUGUGGUUCGGUACCUGCGCGAGUACGGGAGUGAGGAGGAGGUGGAGGAGUACCGGAAGAUUCUGAGUACCAAAAGUGAAGCCGAAAUCGGAAACCUGGAUUCGAUUCGGAUCUGGAAUAUUCUCACCCUGGAAGCCGAAAUUCAGAACGCGCUCAUAGCGAAAGGCCUCGUGGAGACCCCAAUGCGCUUCGACGACCUUGAGUUCCCGCCGCCGCAGGAGCUGUUUCCAAUUCCUGAAAAAGGCAGGAAGGGCGCCAAGAAGGCCCGGUACUGUGGAGUUUUUGGUAUGGAUGAGGCCAAAUCACCAAAUUCCUGAAGCAGGGGACUCUGUUCGCCAAUACCGAGAUCGCCCUUUUUGUACUUUUAUGUUUUAUUUAUUUUAAACUAGAAUGUUUUUGUGUGAAUAACUUGCUCUGCUUUUGCUGCCAGUUUGGAAUUCCAUGUGGAAUUUCUGUAUUUAUGAUUUUAGGAAUUUCAUAAAUUUGUUGCUGGCCUGAAUCUGAAUGGAUGCAGGAGAAAAUCUUAGGUGAGAUGGAUGAUUAUGUAUACAAUCGUUCUCCUGAUUAUAACUUGUUUGGUUGUUAGAGUUGCUUUGGGUUGAUUUGGAUGAAGUUUUAACCCAAUCCCUUGCUUGGCUGGCAGUUACCAUCACUGUUAGAUUAGAGCUGGUGGUAGUAAAAAGAGUGAGAAACGGUUGCGUCCAAUAUGAAUGGGAAACUUUCCUAUUAUUAUUUUUAUUGGUGCAAACAAACUUUAAGCCUCCUUAAUUAUAAAUUUAUAAUAUAAUAGUAAAACACGGAUAGAACGCGUUCAACCUUAACUCAAACGUACACAAAUAGAACUAUUUUGAUUACUCAACAAAAACAAUACAAUUCAACGUUUGACUAAUACCGACUAACCUCUUAAAAUUGGUUAAAUUACAAAAAAGACUAAAAUACCCUUGGAAUCCUAUCAAACACAUGUCCAAAAAUAUCUAUCAAUGUCGUCUUAUACGCAAUCUGCAUUGAGUUAUGCUUAGUCUCUCUCCUCAUCUCAAUAUCUCCUAAAUUAACCAACCAUGGGGCUUAAUUCUUUAAGAUUCAAGCCCCAACAAAUUAAUUUCUUCAGCAGACAAUUUUAGGUAUAUAUUCGGUACAAGGUAAUAAGACUAAAAAAAAUCACACCUAAAAUUGGGUCACGUUAUAAUUAUUCAAAUUGAAUAUAUGUAGUAAUAAGAUUAGGGAAGUCCUAUUCAGCCACUUCAUAAGCACUGUUCAUGAAUAUUAUGGAGAAAUCCUUUCCGAACGAGAAACUAAAGUCAAAUCCGCCUUGUGAUUUUCUAUUUAUAAAUGCAAUCCAGCUUGUGAAUUAGGGAUAUGAUCAUCUAUGAUAAUUUUAUAUAAUAUAGUUUAAUUAGUAAUACUAAUUCUGGUAUUUCAAAACGAUGUAAACAACAAAAUGGACUAAGGAAAUCUGUAGUUGGAUUGGAUUGCAGAAAUCCAUUCCGAGUGCGAACUAAUUAUCAGCAGUGGUCGCCUGCGUUUGACAAAUGGCCAAAAAGGGAUUUGGGGACGACACGUGUAGAGAUUUGAUGCAAAGAAGACCCUCCCUCGCACAUGCCAACAAAUCCAACCCUUUACCAGUUGUCGAAGACUUUUCGGUAGCUUUUUCUUCCUUUUCUUUUGAAGGGGUUUCAACACUCACAAAUUACAGUGGCAGUGAUAACUGAAGUACUAGAAGAAGAUUCUUUGCCUUUAUCAACACCGCCAUGCAUUUUUGGUUGCUAUAGUUUAUUGACAACUAAUCAAUCGGCAUUAUAUUGCUUAUAAAAUGAAAUGAAAACUUUCCUUCGUGAAGAAAAGGACACUCAUCACAUCAUUAAAUUUUAGCAAAACUAACCUUAGCUUUCUUUAUGCAUUCAUAUCAUACAUGAAAAAUUAUUUUAUAUAAAAAUAUUGACUAAGUAUGAAAUUCAUAUCAUACACGAAAGCUUAAAGAAGACGACAACAUUUGUAGAGAAUCUAGAGAUUGCAUAUGGUGGUUGGUAGUAUGCUUGCUUGCUUUGCUUGUUUGUUUGUUUCUUCAGUUUUUCUUGCCUAGAAUAAUAAUAAUAGCAGAAAUUCUUGUUUAUGAAGAGUACAAAUAUUAACUACUCUCAGCAUAAUUAAUUAUAGAAAUAGAAAGCCCAAUUGUUAAUGGAGGAGGGAGUGGCCGAAGUGGGAAUCAUACGCUUUCUCUACCAUUCAUAUAUCAACUAUUAACUUUUUCUUUUUCUGUUUAUCUUUUUCCUAGUUCGUUGGUUUCAACUUUCAACUUCGUUUUGGUCGUUUUCGUUCGGCUCUCUCUCAGAGUCUCAUCUCAUUGGUUCAGGUACGGAUUCCAUAGGGAUCCAUCCAUGGCCUUAUGCUGAACCAGAUCAACAGCCAACCCGCGACAUAGCACUCUUUGGAUUCGUUGGUUCGCUGACAAUCAUGUCUUAGUCGAUCAUCCUUUUUCAUGUACUUGGAUUUCAUUGGAUAUAUUAUUACAAGUUCCAUCCAUUCUUUUGCCUGUACAGCUCAUACCAUUUAAAUUGUUUUAAAAAAAAUUGUUGAAUUUUAUUAAUCGGUAGGUCCAUGAUGUGAAUUGGGGAUGAUCAUAUCUGUUCAUGUACAAAAAUGAUCAAGUAUUUGUGAAAACGAUUGAUUGCAGGUGGGUGGGUGACUUUCAUGUUUCCGCUUCGGGUUCGGCGUGUUCUAAAACUGAUCGAACAAAAUUGCCACGUCAAAUGCUACUUGAGGUUUUGAGAGAGGGUGGGCGGAACAUAAUUUGUUUGUGCAGGCAACCAAGUUGAGGAAACUUGUACAAGUGCUGCAGUCGUAACACACACUAAUAAAACUUAGGUUUUGGAAUUGUUAUUUAUUUUACAUCAACUAAUUGCUGAUGAUUAGAGGGUUCCAAAACCAAUUUCUCCAGUCCUCACGUGGUUACUUCUCAGGCAGCUAUUUCUUGGUAACUAUCAUUUCAAAGUGUAGGGCAAGUCUAGGGCAAGUCUAAGGCAAAUACUAUUCAUUGUACUUUAUUUCCUAUUUUUUUUAUACUUUAAACCAUUAAUUUUGAUAAUUUUUUGUAAUUAAAUUUUCAGAUAAUAUUUUUGGUUGUCAUGUGUCCAUUCAAAAAAGAUUUUCGGAUGAGAAUCUCGAUUGCCACGUGUCUUAUUCCAGAUAAAAUUUUCGGAUAUUCAUUAAAAAAAAUUAUAAUCUCAUAUUUCAGAUAACAUUUUCACCCUCUAAAAUUGUGUUACGUGUCCCAUGUCAGAUAAGAUUUUCAGAUAUUUAAACAAAAUUAUAAUCUCAUAUUUUCACCCUCUUUUUCUUGUGCAUGCUGCUGUUGAAUUGCAAAUGUUUCCUCUCGUGCCUUGUCCACUUCAUCUCUUUUCAAGUCUCUCUCAAUUCUUAGUGAGGUGUUCUUAGCUAUUUGCUCCAAUAAUUGUACACAUUCAUUGUUCGAAGUGCCCCCUCUCUUGGCCUUUGCCGCCUUUCUCCCAAUCGGUCUCGGCGGACGUGGGAGUGGUGACUCCGUUUCUAUUGGGGAGUCCAAUGGCGAAUCGGUUGAUAGUGAAUCGUGGAGCGGCAUCUCAUUCAACACAACCGGCGGACCGGUGGGAAUAAUUUUGAAUCUCGAACAAUCCUUCACAACUUCCCAAUAUUGGAAAUGCACGAAACUUUUUUUGCCUUGCCUCAUGGCACCGAACCACAUUUGUGCUUGUAUAAUCUAUUAAAAAUAAAUAAUUGGAAGUGCAAGAAAAUAUAAACUAUUUUGAAAUGCAAGAAUAAAAUUGAUUAUGCAAGAAAAUAAAGACAAAUUGGAAAUGCAAAAAGAAAAAAAAAAUUAUGCAAAAAAAAGAAAUAGAAUAUGCCAAAAAAAAAAAGUUACAUUAAAUUGAUGAAAAUGACAAUUAUAAAUAUUAUACCUCAUCGGAUAGAUUUUGACCGCUUCGAAUGUUCUCCCUUGCUUUUGUCAAUGCAUUUCUCCAUUUGCCUAACUCUUUAUUUAGAAGUUUUCAUCUACUAGACAACGCCAUUUCGGUCCGAAUGGAACCCGAUCUUUGACAAAAUUCUCCAUGAAUUUUGCUCCACAUAUGAUGGAACUUCAUCUCAUUGCCCGUGACAGGGUCAUGACUAACGUUUACCCAAGACUGACACAACGCAAUAUCUUCCUGAGUUGACCACAAGCCUCCGGUUUAGACAGAAGAUGCCAUUUGUUUUUUGUUUUUUUUAAUACAAAUGGAAAGUAGUAGAAAAAUGUGAGUGGAGAGUAAAAAAUAUUGGAAUGAGAAGAGUUUGUAUGGAGAAUUGGUGAGGAAAGUGAAAAUGUGAGUGGAGAGUAAAAAAUAUUGGGGAUGGAUAAGAAUUGUAUGAAGAUUUUGUAUGGAAAGUAAAUAAAAUGGUUACGUAUUUAUAGGGAAAAAAUGCAUAAUUUUUUGGUAUUUUUAAAAAAAAAUUUUCAGAAUUUUUUCGAAUUUUUUUACAAUUUUUUAAGCCAAAAACGGAGGACCGUCAGAUUUCUGGAAAAAAACCAUCGGAGCGUCUCUAUCGCGACAUGUGGCACUUGCCCGUUGGAUACUGUCAGGGCUGACGUCAUCGCUAACAAACAGCUGUCCGAACUGAUUCUCCCGCACUGGAGCGCUCUGGAGCGCAGUUGCGCUCGCCUACGAGGCCUUUCUCCCGGGUUGGGUCUUCCAAUGACGUGGCUCUUAGGUAUUAUGACAGAUGUUCCACUAGAAACAUUUUUAUGGUGGGACUCACCUUCCGGUGCGACCCAUCUUCCUUUAUAUGAAGGAAACAAACAAGUUCCAUCUUCUUUUAUAUAAAGCAAACAAGUUAGUUCCACUAGAAACAUUUCGCCCGAACCACAUCUCUCUCCUUUCUCUCUCUCUCUCUCUCUCUCUCUCUCUCUCUCUCUCUCUCUCAACAUCUGAUUCAGAGCUAGCUAGCUAUAGCAGCAAUGGCCAUGGCUUCUCUUCUCAGCCCUUCUUCUUCCAAUUUACUUCUCCACCACCUAAGAGAAGUCCAUCUGCCAACGAUCCGACCUGCAGAGGUCGAAGAAAGCAGUAACAUUGGAGAGGCUAGACACAGACCAGCCUCAGCUGCUAUCGUGGCGCCAAACGCUGCUUUCAGCUUCAGGGGCCCACAAACGACGGUGUACGCUGCGGCCUACUGCAUCGGCGGAGGUACUAGUUUGUGCCCGGAUGAGGUCCUUCUGACUGCUCUCCCGGUCAAUGGACCCACCCGACAAGACGCUAUGGCUGCAAUCAUGGCGUUCCGGUUGAAGAUGACCUUACGCCAUAGCAGCAGCCGCCGGCAAUUGGUGGAUUUCUGUUUUCUGGUGCCGGCUGAGGGUGGUGACCAGAAUUUUGUGGACCCUGCACCAAACAGGGGACCCAAUUAUAUCCCGGAUCUCAAUGUCUCGCCGCCGGAUGCGACGGCGCCGGCGAUGGAGUUCGUCGGAGAAAUAAAGAGCCAGAACAUCUCCCGGUUCAUUGAUUACGUGGUGGGGUACCUGGGCGAGUACGGGAGUGAUGAUUCGGUGGCGGAGUACAGGAAGAUUCUGAGCAGCAAAAGUGAAGACGAAAUCGGAAACCUUGAUUCGAUUCGUGUCUGGAAUAUUCUCACCCUGAGAACCGAAAUUCAGAAGGCGCUCGUUGCGAAAGGCCUUGUUGAAGCCCCAAUCGGCUCCGAUGAUGUUCAAUUCCCGGCGCAGCAGCAGCUGCUUCCCAUUCCACAACAAGGCUGGACGGCCGCCCUUAACCAUGCUCAUAUUCAUUGUCAUGUCACUGCUGCUGCCGCCGGCACCGGUGCCAAUUUUAACGGCAACGACAAAACUAUGGUACUAUUCAGUAAUUAGUAUAUGGGUAGCUUCAACUUGAUUGCAUUGAAUAUCUGUUUUCUUUGUUUUCAGUCGGAUGGUCGCAAUUAUGGUGUUGGUUAUGAGAAGCAGAGCAACGUGGCAAAGCGGAAGGCGGUGGCUGUUGGUGGUGUGGACGAGGACGACCCAUGUUGUCCCUAUGAUCAGCCGAUGAAGAAGCCCAGCCACGGCGUCGGCGGGGUUCUUUGGAUCGAUGAGGCUAAAGCCCUGGCUCGGGACAAGGCGCCUAUUGAUGAAGCAGAGGAGGAGGGCGUGUCCACUGACUGAAUCAAUCCUCCGAAAAGUCCCUUUUGAUUGUUUUGUUUAUUUAUUUAUUUGUUUUUUUUUAUACUGGAAGGCUUGUGUGUGAAACUUGUGUGUUGUUUUGUUCCUUUUGCUUUUGCUGGGUUGGUUUGUGUAGAAGAGAGUGAGGGUUUGUUUCCACUUUAUUGAAUAAAGUAAUUUGUAAUUGCGCUUAGAUAUUGCGUGUGGCCACUUAAUUGCGCUUUAGAUACAUUAAAGCUGUCGUGUGUUGGGAAGAAUAAGACGGUUGUGUCCAUUUUGGCGGGCAUUUUGGCUGUUGCGCGCGUUUGAUAAAUCAUCCAUCGAAGUUGGAUGUUUGGAUGCAGACAAGGCUUGGCGGUCGCAAGCUCGAGUGACCAAUUGCAAUUUCCAAUUAAAUAUUUAACAUUAAAGAAUUGAAUAUUAAUAAAUUUAGGCACACGUUCAAUAAAAAAUAUUUAUUCUUCUUGUGAAAUUCUAUUUAUACUUGGGAAGUGUCCCCUUUUCCAUUUUGAAAGCACUCGCAUAAAACUGCCACAGAAGAGUACAAAUGUAUAAUCAUUCUUCCUUUUUCUUUCUCUCUCUUUACAAUAAAAAAUUCUGUUUGAUAUUUUCCUAAUUUGUUUGGGGCAGUUUCUGACCAUUCAAAUUGUAGAAUUUUUGAUCCGAUGCCCAACAUCUAUGUCUCUGUGUAUUGGUUGUACCGGAUAAAAGGACAUGAUUUUCUAAAAGUUAUGACAUGAAAGUGCUUCAACUAAAAUCCUGACCUGGAAUUCCUUUUUUGUUUUCUUUCUAUAUCAUGCCGUUUUACUUAAAUAUAUAUAUAUAUAUAUAUAUAUAUAUAAAAUGGAGGGAGGGAGAGCAGAGGUGGGCCCAGAUUUCUUUUCUCUUUGAUCAGGACAGAGACCAAGGUUGAACCUUCAAAAGCUCUAAAUUUUUUAGAAAAUAUUAUAAUAAUAUGACGCUUUCUACAAAUACAUCUCCUCCAAUCCCACCACCACCGCCUUCCUUCUCCAAAAUCCCAAACUCCAAACCCAACAAAAAUUCAACAAUGAUGUCGACCUCUCCGAAUCCAGACGCCUCUGUUUUUGCAAGCAUAAUGGAACUUCACUUCAAAGAACUCGAUCUGAUCCUGGAACAGCUUCUCCUCAACAAAGAACAAAUGCUUCCCAUACUUCAAAAGUGCUUCUCACUCACUUUCCUGAAAGAGGGUCUUGCAGAACAAAUUGCUGUCCAUAAACGCGAUUCAGCCGAUCGGAUUAACCCCGGUCCGCUGGACUCUGCUCUUCUCAAGGACUGCGUGGCGCAGGUUCUGGUGCCCAGCAACAAACGCUUCAUCAAAUUUGUGCAUUGCUACCUGCUUGAAGCUGGCAAGGAGAAACAAGCUGAAGAGUACCUGCAAAAGGUGAGCCCUGCAUCUCGGGUCCAACACUUGGACUCCAUCAAUAUUUGGAAUUACCUUACUCUGCCAUGCCAGGUGUUCAAUAAGGUAAUGGAAGAUAUGGGG